Non-coding RNA from Lupinus albus (white lupine), 253 nucleotides. The record is from the annotation of a GenBank genome assembly. NCBI's taxonomy places the organism in Eukaryota, Viridiplantae, Streptophyta, Magnoliopsida, Fabales, Fabaceae.
CGGAUAAUUCAAGUCGAACCGAUUGGAUGUCCGACUCGGGCCUAUAUGACAUGACCUAUCAAUAAAAAUACUCUAACACUCCACCCCUGUCAUAUAUUCCAUACAUCACACUAGAUAGAUAUCAUAUUCAUGGAAUACGAUUCACUUUCAAGAUGCCUUGGUGGUGAAAUGGUAGACACGCGAGACUCAAAAUCUCGUGCUAAAGAGCGUGGAGGUUCGAGUCCUCUUCAAGGCAUAAUAUUGAGAUCUCUUA